RNAcentral lists this ribosomal RNA (460 nucleotides) under uncultured bacterium. RNAcentral's name for it is "partial 16S ribosomal RNA". It matches the Rfam family "Bacterial small subunit ribosomal RNA", at positions 338 to 795 of the family's 1533-position model. The record is from RNAcentral.
CCUACGGGAGGCAGCAGUGAGGAAUAUUGGUCAAUGGGCGUAAGCCUGAACCAGCCAAGCCGCGUGAGGGAUGAAGGUUCUAUGGAUCGUAAACCUCUUUUAUAAGGGGAUAAAGUGUGGGACGUGUACUCUUUUGAAUGUACUUUACGAAUAAGGAUCGGCUAACUCCGUGCCAGCAGCCGCGGUAAUACGGAGGAUCCAAGCGUUAUCCGGAUUUAUUGGGUUUAAAGGGUGCGUAGGCGGCCUUUUAAGUCAGCGGUGAAAGUCUGUGGCUCAACCCUAGAAUUGCCUGUGAUACUGGGGGGCUUGAGUAUGUUUGAGGCAGGUAGAAUGCAAGGUGUAGCGGUGAAAUGCUUAGAGAUCACGCAGAACCCCGAUUGCGAAGGCAGCCUGCCAAGCCAUGACUGACGCUGAUGCACGAAAGCGUGGGGAUCAAACAGGAUUAGAUACCCGAGUAGUC